AUAGGACGUCCAACUUAACUUGGAGUCCGAACUCUCACUUUCUAACCCUGUGCACUUGUUUGGGAUAGUAACUCUCGCAAGAGAGCGAACUCCUAUUCACUUAUAAACACAAAGUCUAUGAAUGUAUUAAAUUUUAUAACAAAAUAAAACUUUCAACAACGGAUCUCUUGGCUCUCGCAUCGAUGAAGAACGCAGCGAAAUGCGAUAAGUAAUGUGAAUUGCAGAAUUCAGUGAAUCAUCGAAUCUUUGAACGCACCUUGCGCUCCAUGGUAUUCCGUGGAGCAUGCCUGUUUGAGUGUCAUGAAUACUUCAACCCUCCUCUUUCUUAAUGAUUGAAGAGGUGUUUGGUUUCUGAGCGCUGCUGGCCUUUACGGUCUAGCUCGUUCGUAAUGCAUUAGCAUCCGCAAUCGAACUUCGGAUUGACUUGGCGUAAUAGACUAUUCGCUGAGGAAUUCUAGUCUUCGGAUUAGAGCCGGGUUGGGUUAAAGGAAGCUUCUAAUCAGAAUGUCUACAUUUUAAGAUUAGAUCUCAAAUCAGGUAGGACUACCCGCUGAACUUAAGCAUAUCAAUAAGCGGAGGAAAAGAAACUAACAAGGAUUCCCCUAGUAGCGGCGAGCGAAGCGGGAAGAGCUCAAAUUUAUAAUCUGGCACCUUCGGUGUCCGAGUUGUAAUCUCUAGAAAUGUUUUCCGCGUUGGACCGCACACAAGUCUGUUGGAAUACAGCGGCAUAGUGGUGAGACCCCCGUAUAUGGUGCGGACGCCCAGCGCUUUGUGAUACAUUUUCGAAGAGUCGAGUUGUUUGGGAAUGCAGCUCAAAUUGGGUGGUAAAUUCCAUCUAAAGCUAAAUAUUGGCGAGAGACCGAUAGCGAACAAGUACCGUGAGGGAAAGAUGAAAAGCACUUUGGAAAGAGAGUUAACAGUACGUGAAAUUGUUGGAAGGGAAACGCUUGAAGUCAGACUUGCUUGCCGAGCAAUCGGUUUGCAGGCCAGCAUCAGUUUUCCGGGAUGGAUAAUGGUAGAGAGAAGGUAGCAGUUUCGGCUGUGUUAUAGCUCUCUGCUGGAUACAUCUUGGGGGACUGAGGAACGCAGUGUGCCUUUGGCGGGGGUUUCGACCUCUUC
This 1119-nucleotide ribosomal RNA is filed under the name Rhodotorula mucilaginosa. RNAcentral describes it as "eukaryotic LSU rRNA". The stretch from base 524 to 1119 matches the Rfam family "Eukaryotic large subunit ribosomal RNA", at positions 1 to 612 of the family's 3401-position model. The record is from RNAcentral. Lineage: Eukaryota; Fungi; Basidiomycota; Microbotryomycetes; Sporidiobolales; Sporidiobolaceae.